Molecule: ribosomal RNA, 250 nt
Filed under: uncultured bacterium
Lineage: Bacteria
Description: partial 16S ribosomal RNA
Rfam family: Bacterial small subunit ribosomal RNA
Source: RNAcentral
ACAGAGGUCUCAAGCGUUGUUCGGAAUCACUGGGCGUAAAGGGUGCGUAGGUGGCGUGGCAAGUCAGAUGUGAAAGCCCGGGGCUCAACUCCGGAACUGCAUCCGAUACUGCCAUGCUUGAGGUUUUGAGGGGGGACUGGAAUUCUCGGUGUAGCAGUGAAAUGCGUAGAUAUCGAGAGGAACACCAGUGGCGAAGGCGAGUCCCUGGAAAACACCUGACACUGAGGCACGAAAGCUAGGGGAGCAAACA